AGAAUCAUGCAGGAAUUUAUUUGCUUUUAUUUGCUUUCCAUGUAUAGCAUCCUUGUAAAGUCUAUAUAUAAUAUACAAAACUCAAGGCCAAGGUAGUCGGUCAUUCACAGAAUAUUUUGACAUGGUAUCAGAGCUUAUGUUCUGAACCUAGAGUUUACACUCUUUCUAGUUUUUCUUUGGGUUUUCUCGGAUUUAGCCCUAAGGGCUCUCAGAUUUAGCCCUAGGGGCUCUCGAACUCUAGUCCAACUUUUGGGGUUUUUUUAUUUUUUAUUUUUUUUUAUUUUUAUUUUUUUCUGGUGGUUGUGACAACACAUCUAUGGUAUGAUCUUGGAGUUUUCUUUGGGUUUCUUCGAUUCUAGGCUCUUGGAGAUCUUCGAUUAUUUGAAGGUUUGUUAUCAGAUUUAGGCUAUUUGACAAUGUUUUUGUUUCUUAGGCUAUUUCUGUCUUCAUAAUGUCUGGAGAAUAUUCUAUUGUUCGUUUCAAUGGCAAAAACUAUCUUAGUUGGGAGUUUUAGUUUAAGAUGUUUGUGAAAAGUAAGAAGCAAGACAGAGUCUUUAAGUCAUCUACGAAAUCUGAGUAUCGGGCGAUGUGUCUUGCUUGUUCUAAAAUCAUUUGGAUUUGAGGUUUGCUUGCGGAGUUAGAUUUUUCUGAGACCAAUCUUACACUUCUACAUGCCGAUAAUACAAGUGUUAUUCAGAUUAGAACCAAUCAUGUCUAUCAUGAGCACACAAAGCAUAUUGAAGUGGACUGUCACUCUAUCUGUGCAGCCUUUGAAGCUCGUGUUAUCACUCUUCCACAUAUUUCCACUGACUUACAAAUUGCUGAUAUCUUCACCAAGGCUCUCCCUCGUCAUCAACAUUGCUUGCUAAGUAGCAAAUUGAUGCUUGUUGAUCAACCUGCAUCAAUUUGAGGGGGACUGUCAAAGGACAACUUUGUUGUCCACACUUUUUUCCUUAUUUUAGCCCACAAUUGUUUCCUUAUUUCUCCAUUUAUUAUUAUGUACAGUUAGUAUAUAUUAUUUGACAGAUUAUAGUUUACAUGUAUAAGGCUAGAAUCAUGCGGGAAUUUAUUUGCUUUUAUUUGCUUUCCAUGUAUAACAUCCAUGUAAAGUCUAUAUAUAAUAUACAAAACUCAAGGCCAAGGUAGUCGGCCAUUCACACAAUAUUUUGACAUGGUAUCAGAGCUUGUGUUCUGAACCUAGAGUUUACACGCUUUCUAGUUUUUCUUUGGGUUUUCUCGGAUUUAGCCCUAGGGGCUCUCGGAUUUAGCCUUAGGGGCUCUCGGACUCUAGCCCAGCUUUUGGGUUCUUUUUUUUUUUUUUUUUUUUCUGGUGGUUGUGACAACACAUCUGUGGUGUGAUCUUGGAGUUUUCUUU
Molecule: long non-coding RNA, 1375 nt
Filed under: Vitis vinifera (wine grape)
Lineage: Eukaryota; Viridiplantae; Streptophyta; Magnoliopsida; Vitales; Vitaceae
Description: long non-coding RNA (VVIN_LNC003993)
Source: RNAcentral